CCUUUCAUCAUCACUCGACUCGUAAUCCAUGGCAGCACUGCUAUUGCUCUUCUUGCCUCUACCGCUAGCUGACACAGAUGUGGCCUUUACAGACGAAGAGUUAUAGUCAUCAUAAUAUCCAUUAGCUGUGGAUGAAGAUUUGUGAUGACCAGAAGAUGCAGAGGAACCACCAGCUACGGCCACAGGAGCUUCCCCUGAGGAAGAGAGCUUGCGCUUGUUUUUGGCGAGCUCUUCUUCCGGAAAGCUAAUGCGACAGAAAACGCUUGCUUUCUGUUUGCGGUCUGCUAUUGCGGAUGAAGCUGGUUUAGCAGUCGUUUCAGAUGAAGCUUUUGCAGGGAGUUCAGAACGUUGGUGGUGGUGGUGGUGGCUAUGCUGAUGAUCGCGUUCACCUCUGUCUCGUUCUCGGUCAUGAUCGUAGUCGUGGUAAUCGUGAUCGCGAUCUCUAUCACGUUCGCUUCUCUCGUGGUCGGAUUUUCUUUUGGAAGGGCGCGGAGGCAGUGGUGGUGGAGGUUCAAGAUCGCGGGCUGAGCGUUCAGGCGAGGACCUCUCAGGUAGACGGCGGUGGUGUGUAUGAGGAUCACCGCUUGAUGACUGCGGAAUAGACUUCUGCGCAAACGAACAUUUAAAAAGGAAAGCUGUUAGAAUUAGAACGGCCACAUUCAAGAUACAGCAUAAUAUAGCCCAUUACUUUUACUGUUAUAAGGCCCAAUCAUAAGCCCAUCACUUAGCCCAGGCUCCAUUUUUUUCUCCACCUACCGUCAACUGGAAAUAUAGCAGUCUGUAAUUACCUACUUCAGUCUUAAUGAUUACGGCUCUUCACUAUAAUCAUUUUUCACCUUUGUUGUUCUUAUUUCCAAAAUACUUGAAUUUACUUCACAAUAAGAACAGUUUCACACGCAAUUUUCUUUCGUUAGGCCGUUUGGCUCACCUUUUUAUUUUUAUUUACAAAAUUUUAAAUAAAAAAUCACACCAUUUUAAAACCAUAUCGCAAAUCUUUCCCUUAGGAAAACCAUGAAUCGAGUAAAAUUUAACACUCUGGAAAUCAGUAACCGCGCAUUCAAAUUAUUUACAAUUAUUUGCUUCAAAAUCUUUACAA
This 1096-nucleotide unclassified non-coding RNA is filed under the name Hevea brasiliensis (rubber tree). The record is from RNAcentral. Lineage: Eukaryota; Viridiplantae; Streptophyta; Magnoliopsida; Malpighiales; Euphorbiaceae.